CUGCAGUGUUGAUGCUCUGAAUAUGUUUUCUCACCUUAAAACUUCAAGUGAGAAUCUGUCAGGGGUAAACGUGACUCCUUUUGAAUUUAUUGAGCGGGUACUUGAAGGCGUCGUAGCUGUGGCCGCAACUGUGUAACAUUGCAGGAGUUUAGGAGUGCCUCUUGGCGUUUUCACUACUAGGUAGCUCGUCAUGACAACACCGCCCAUCUGCAAUUCUCCUCACCAGGACCUGUUGCAUGGCGGUGCAGUGGGGUGGGGUUGAGCAGCGCUUGUUUUAUUAUCAACAACCAAAAACAAGUCCAGCCUCCUUGAGAGUUGUCUUUUUAUGGAGUUGGAGGAAGGGUGCAGCGAGGAAAAAAAUAACGAGCAGAAGGAGGAGAAAGUUCUAGAGAGGAUUUACAUGUUAAGCUCUUACCCCAGUUUUAGAAAUAUGUUCAGCAGAGGCUGUUGCUCAGUAAGUGCGAGAAACAGGUUAGCUACGUUUCCGCCGUUGUCUGUCUUUGAGACACAAUGUUGUUGCUGUAUCAAGUGUAGGUUUGAUCUCCAUCGCCAUUCUGUACAUCGGUGGGCCUCUCUUGCUGACCUGAGGAGCCCAGCCAAACCAAAGUUUGCCCCAGCUGUUAUAUGUCACAGUACAGUAUUGCAUUUCCACAUCUGGCACAAUUUAAAGAAUCAAAUCAAGUGCAUAGGAAUCCAGAAGUGACCUCACGGGCAUGCGCAAACUUUCUCCCCAAAUGAUAACUUCAAGUUUUCUUUGUGUGAGAAAUUUCCAGGAAGUCUCGCAACUCACAAAGGGCGGGCGUUGCGGAUCGUCUGCCUAACUGCUUCAGUGUGUUUACGGGCCAAAGGUCACGGAAGAAAAUGGUCCUCGUUGCUCACGCACAUCUCAAGCCCCAAAUGCGUGAAAUACCAAUGCGGCGGCGGUGCAGGAAGACUCUAAACAUUUCACCUCCACGGGGUGCUGUCGUCUGACGUGAAACGCACCCUUGCUGCACUUCUCUUGGCAAACGUGCUGGAGACAUUAAGCGGCCCCGGCAGCAUUUCGGAUGGGAAACGUAAACAUUUGCCAUCCGGCGGGAACUGGAUCGACAUUCUACAAUGAAGAGAACACGUUUUACAUACAUAUGAUGUAAAAUAAAAUCCGUCCUUUUUUCCUGACAACGGUGUGUCGAAUUCAAGUAUUAAAACUGUAACUAGCAAGACUUUUUCUCUUGUAUAGGAAAUCAAAAUGUUUUGUAACACAACUAGAUAGCUUACAACAGUACAACGUUACAUCGUUAUCUGCUUUAGGAAUUAACAUUUAUGAUGUAGUUAGCAGGGGUGCCCAAGUCCGGUCCUAGAGAGCCCCACUCCACCCUGUUUUCACUGUCUCCCUUCUCCAACACACUCAAUUCAAACGAUCAAAAAGCUCAUCAGCAAACUUAACGGAAGCCUGAUAACGGUCUUGCUCAUUUGAAUCAGAUAUUUCAAACAAAUGUUCCAAGUGUGUUUGUAUGUCACCUCAAAUAAUUUAACAUUUGAAAACUUGUUUCAUUAAAACUAACAACAACUAAAACAAAAUUCAGUCAUUCAUGAAAGAAGGGUUUUGAGUGUCAAAGAGACAACUCAUUCCAAAAAAAUAAA
This is a long non-coding RNA of Hippocampus comes (tiger tail seahorse), 1623 nucleotides long. RefSeq lists it as uncharacterized. The transcript has 3 exons. NCBI's taxonomy places the organism in Eukaryota, Metazoa, Chordata, Actinopteri, Syngnathiformes, Syngnathidae. The record is from RefSeq and is a predicted model, not a curated record.